This is a non-coding RNA of Onthophagus taurus, 1828 nucleotides long. The record is from RefSeq and is a predicted model, not a curated record. NCBI's taxonomy places the organism in Eukaryota, Metazoa, Arthropoda, Insecta, Coleoptera, Scarabaeidae.
UAGGAAACUCUUGUGAGUUGUUCUUUGAGUUUGAUUCUUUGAUUUUUCUUUUUGUAGGUUAUGUUAAAUAAUAAAAUAAAAUUAUCAUCCGACUCACUGUGUAAAAGAAAGGAUUGGAGUUCAAUGUGGUAUCUGGAUUAUGGAUUGUCUCUUGUGUUCGGGGCACUAACUAAUUUUCUGGAUUGUCUACAGGAUUCUUCUUACGGGAAAUUGAACUGUUUGUUCUUCGGAAAUAGGGUCUUGGAUGAUCUCGAAGAAGUAUCAGUAGUUCUCGGAAUAGGUUGUAGGAUGAUUCUCUUUUUAUUUUAAUAUUACAUACAUUGGAGUACACGCCAAAUUUCAACAAUGAGUAAAGUUGGAAAAAUUCAGAUUUAAAUCAAGGAUUUCUUCCUCAAAAUAACGUUAAAACCUCAAAAGAUGGAUGAAAAAUGUGCUUUAGGAGCUGAACUACAAUAAUUGAUACAUUUGGAAGUAAACAAAACGGUUUAAGAUAAGAUUUUCACCAACAAAAAAUCUCUCUGUCACAAAUUCUAGGUUAUGUUCUCUUGGUGAACUAACAAUAAGAUAAUGUUAAAAUUAUUACAGUAUGUAUAUAAUCAGUUUUCAUUCUGACGGUGCAAUUAUUUUAACAAUUUCAUGUUCAUUUCAAUUUAUUUUGUUUAACAACUGCAUUAUUUUUGAAAUGAAAUUUUCUAUAAAGCAAUUUGCCCUCCAUUUUUAGCCUGUCAAUAAUUACAAAAAAUAGGGUAUUAUAUCGAGUAUAAAGUGUAGUUGCAUAUAAAGUAAUUUUUAUUCAGAAUUAAACAUACUCAAACAUUUGAUAUUCUCAAUUAGAGUCUUUAUCAAAUUUCUCUCUCAAAAAACAUUUUUAUCAAGGUUGGUAAAAUGUUAUUCUUAAUGAAAAACCGUUUACUUUAACCUCGCUUAGGCCAUCGCGUUGAACUUAAAGUGCAUAGUUAUCGACUUUAGUUUAGCUAGUGGUCGCGUUCAAAACUGAAUAACUUUUUGAGCGAGAAAACAAAAAAAUUUUAUUUUUUUAACAAAAGAAUUCUAUACAAUUUUCUUUUGGAAUAUCCCACAAAAUAAACCCAUUUAUUAUUCAAUAAUGUUUGUACUAUUAACAUUAGCUGAUGUAAUCACCGAGACUAACGUACAUUAUAAAUACAUGUAUGCGAUGAUGUUUUAUCGAUACAAUAGGUAUUUCACGAUAUUUUUCAAAGCCGAAUGAAUGAAUUAUUGAAACAUACUAAUUUACCGUUAUUACCACCUGGUUUUGUUAUCGAUUUCGAACAAAAAAAAAAUGUAAUUUAUGAACACACGAACCAAAGUUUAGCUUAAACUAAAAAGAUUCCAAAAUGUGGGCAGUACACGCAACAAAGAGACAUUUUGGAAGCUUUCGAGCAAUAACCAUACAUUAUGUAUGCCAUAUUUUACGAGCAGUAUCUGAAAGUAAUGUUCCGCUUUCGAAAAGGAGGGGAAACGGAGUAUGAGUUUCAUCAGAACGAACUUUGCCCCGGCUCCUCCACCCAAAAUUAAAUUCUCGUAACCCCAAAAUAACCUGUUGGCGAAGUUUGGUUCUCUCUCCAUGGCAAGGGUUGGGCGUGGAUUUAUGUUGGACGCGAUGCGAUAUAAAGUUGGGCACGUCCACCAUGGGAACUGUUUUUCUAAAACUCCCAAUGGAUUUAUUGCGUAUAGUAAAUGAAAAUGGUUAAAUAAUCUAGAAACGUAAAUGCACUAAACAAAACUAGCAACAAGAUUGGUUUUAAUAAACUAUUGAUAUGUAUCUAUGUAUACAAAAAAGAAAAGAAUAAAUUCAAUUUGCAAUCAA